GGCUGUAGCUCAGUGGUAAAGUGCUUGCCUCACAUGUCUGAGGCACUGGGUUCAAUCCUCAGCAUCA
RNAcentral lists this transfer RNA (67 nucleotides) under Marmota monax (woodchuck). RNAcentral describes it as "tRNA.Val". Lineage: Eukaryota; Metazoa; Chordata; Mammalia; Rodentia; Sciuridae. The record is from RNAcentral.